RNAcentral lists this unclassified non-coding RNA (167 nucleotides) under uncultured Alternaria. Its description in RNAcentral is "sequence contains ITS1". The record is from RNAcentral. Lineage: Eukaryota; Fungi; Ascomycota; Dothideomycetes; Pleosporales; Pleosporaceae.
CACAAAUAUGAAGGCGGGCUGGAACCUCUCGGGGUUACAGCCUUGCUGAAUUAUUCACCCUUGUCUUUUGCGUACUUCUUGUUUCCUUGGUGGGUUCGCCCACCACUAGGGACAAAACAUAAAACCUUUUGUAAUUGCAAUCAGCGUCAGUAACAAAUUAAUAAUUA